RNAcentral lists this long non-coding RNA (656 nucleotides) under Sinocyclocheilus grahami. RNAcentral describes it as "lncRNA (ENSSGRG00000042900.1)". The record is from RNAcentral. Lineage: Eukaryota; Metazoa; Chordata; Actinopteri; Cypriniformes; Cyprinidae.
UGCAGUUAUCUAAAAAUAUAAAUUCUUGUGUUUUAUGCUUUUGAUUUUGGUGUGAAAUAUGGACCUGGACGUUUUCUGUUAGUGAGAUUUACCCAUAUGUACUAACCUGAGCAUGUUUAUAGCGGCUUAUCUUGACAUUGUCCAGGCCGUCUGAUGAUAUGUCACCUCUUCCUCAGAUGUGCAGCAUCCCGAACCUCAGCACCCGUCUGGACCUGCUGCUCACGAUGCGAGAGCUGCCCAUCUGUAUGGAGGACCUCACGCCGCUGAUUAUCCAGAAGAUCCACAUGUGCCAGCAGCUGUGGGCUUGUGACUCAUUUGUCAGCAUGCUGGAGUACCUUCUGGCCGUGGGCAAUUACCUCAACCAGAACGCAGGCAAGGACAGGGCCAAGGGAUUUCGCCUCUCGUCCUUAACUAAGCUUUCUCAGGUGCGCGGGAACAAUCGGAAGUUCACCUUGCUGCAUGCCCUUGUGGAGCAGAUCAUGUUGCGAGAACCACGUUUGGCCACCUUUUUCCUGGAGCUUGCAGAAUUUGAGACUGUUCCUGGAGCUUCAGUCAAAGGUCUGACAGCAGAGGUGGACGUAGUGAAGAAUGAAUUUCAGAAGAUCGUCCAGUACAGGAAAACAUACAGUAAAAGUAAAAACGAAGUCAAUCAGCAC